GACGAACGCUGGCGGCGUGCCUAAUACAUGCAAGUAGGACGCAGUUGCGAACGGGUGAGUAACGCGUAGGUAAAUGCCUAUUAGAGGGGGAUAACUAGUGGAAACGAUAGCUAAUACCGCAUACUAGGAGAUGGACCUGCGUUGGAUUAGCUAGUAGGUAGGGUAAUGGCCUACCUAGGCAACGAUACACAGCCGACCUGGGAGGGAGAUCAGCCACACUGGGACUGAGGCACGGCCCAGAAUCCUACGGGAGGCAGCAGUAGGGAAACUUCGGAAAUGGGGGGCACCCUGACCGCACAACUCCGCGUGAGUGAAGAAGGUCUUCGGAUCGUAAAGCUCUGUUGUUCAGGAAGCGGUACUUAACCAGAAAGGAACGGCUAACUACGUGCCAGCAGCCGCGGUAAUAC
RNAcentral lists this ribosomal RNA (407 nucleotides) under uncultured bacterium. RNAcentral's name for it is "partial 16S ribosomal RNA". It matches the Rfam family "Bacterial small subunit ribosomal RNA", at positions 28 to 526 of the family's 1533-position model. The record is from RNAcentral.